Molecule: ribosomal RNA, 253 nt
Filed under: uncultured bacterium
Lineage: Bacteria
Description: partial 16S ribosomal RNA
Rfam family: Bacterial small subunit ribosomal RNA
Source: RNAcentral
UACGUAGGUGACCAGCGUUGUCCGGAUUUACUGGGCGUAAAGAGCGCGCAGGCGGUCGUUCAAGUCGAGUGUGAAAGCCCCCGGCUCAACUGGGGAGGGUCACUCGAUACUGAUCGACUUGAAGGCAGGAGAGGGAAGCGGAAUUCCCGGUGUAGUGGUGAAAUGCGUAGAUAUCGGGAGGAACACCAGUGGCGAAGGCGACUACCUGGCCUGUUCUUGACGCUGAGGCGCGAAAGCUAGGGGAGCAAACAGG